RNAcentral lists this long non-coding RNA (670 nucleotides) under Nilaparvata lugens (brown planthopper). RNAcentral's name for it is "uncharacterized LOC120349761, transcript variant X2". Lineage: Eukaryota; Metazoa; Arthropoda; Insecta; Hemiptera; Delphacidae. The record is from RNAcentral.
GGUAGUUUUACUCUUAUAAAUAAGUCCUUCUUUAACAGAAGACUAAUCAAACACAAAGACAUAAUAUGGAUGAAUUCGUUUAAAAAAGAAAGUUGAAACGGUUAAUAGUAUGAUUAGGCUAUUCAUCACUGUACCAGAGAAUAACAGGCUGAUUGAGCUAUGGUUGAAACUUGCUGCUGGGUCUAUCUUGCUAGUUUAUGGCUGAUGAUCACAAUGUCAAGUAUCAGGUGACAGUCAACUUCAAAUCAGGUGGAAAUAUUUAAGAAGUCCAAUCGCCGUAAUGAUGAUGAGUUUGAUCAUGAGGUUCUCUACCUGGGGAUGAACAACAUGCCCUUGAGAGAGAGAGAGAGAGAGAGGCCAGUAACCAUUGCAGAGCGGAUGAUCAAGCUGGUGAAGAAAAUUCACCACAAGCCCAAUAGCGCUCUAAUUAACAUGUGCAUCAUUCUGCCAAGGAGUGAGAACAGUUUCAAGAUUGCCGGAAGAGAUGAAGAAAGAAUAGACUUCUGGAAUGGCAAAGCAACCACAACGAAAGUCAUGUAUCGACAAUAAUUGUGAGUAGUAACAAAAGGGCGACCAAACCUAACCUCAAGGUCACCCAAGUCAACCAAACCUAACCUCAAGGUCACCCAAGUUGACCAAACCUAACCUCAAGGUCACCCAAGUUGACCAA